This is a non-coding RNA of Hydrogenophilales bacterium, 82 nucleotides long. The record is from Rfam. Lineage: Bacteria; Pseudomonadati; Pseudomonadota; Hydrogenophilia; Hydrogenophilales.
GCGAAAGUGGCGGAAUUGGUAGACGCACUGGAUUUAGGUUCCAGCGCCGCAAGGCGUGGGGGUUCGAGUCCCCCCUUUCGCA